Bactrocera latifrons is the source of this 552-nucleotide long non-coding RNA. RefSeq lists it as uncharacterized. The record is from RefSeq and is a predicted model, not a curated record. NCBI's taxonomy places the organism in Eukaryota, Metazoa, Arthropoda, Insecta, Diptera, Tephritidae. The transcript is spliced from 3 exons.
UGUGUAAUACUUGAAAAUUUAUAAAAUUUAUAAAAUAAAAAGUUGACUAAAUGGCUCGUUUCGAUAAUACAUCAUCCGAUUCUUUGUGUUGACCUAGCGUACGUGUUCAGCCGCUUUCGUUUUUGGUUAAAAUUGCGCUCCCAACUGAGAGGAAAAUGCAGCAGCCUAAUAAGAAGUAUAAAAAGAGUUAGGUGCUCUCCAUUAUAUAGUUUUUAACGGAAGGGAGGAAAUUUAAGAUAAUAAUUGCAAAAAUAUAGCUACAAUGUGUCGCUACUACUAGCAGCUGAGGGAAAUGCUUUCCAAAGAUUGUUCCGGCCAUGCAACCGUUACUGGUUACAAAUAAUGUAACUGGCUUGCCUUUGGCAACUUCUGCGCCAUCAAAAGCAGCACCUUCUGUUGCACAAAUUCCCAACCAACGAUCAACUCGGCCACCGAAAUCUUCCCCUGGACAAUUGGCGGCUAUCGUAGCAGAGAAUGUUGCCAUGGAAGAGAAGAAGCUCGAAUUCGAAAAAUAUUAGUUUGAAGAAGAAAAGAAAAUUGAUGAAAAAAUAG